CAGCGCGGCCGUGCCGCGGUGACCGCCACGCUCCAGGCCGUGUGGGGCUCCAGCUCCCGGCACAGCCCCUUCCCACACCUCAGGAGUGGGCAGCAGCCUUGAGUGCCACCACCCUCUGCUGCCUGCAGAGCCACCUUCUCACCGGUGCCUGGACAAGGAUGUUCGAGUGCUUGUAGACUCUGGGAUGCAGAGUGGUUUCCCUGGGAAGAACCGAGGGUCUGCUUGCCCUGGCUGCCUCCUGUCAGUGUCCACCCCAGUGUCCACCAGUGCCUGCUGCCCUUCUGCCCAGAGGAGCUGGAAACCCGCCUGCACAUCCAGCUGAGUCGAAAAUACAUGAAAGGCAGAUUAUCAGGGGGAGACUGUCCUCAUCUCUGCCGCUCGCUUAUGGCAGUGCAAGGACCUGGAAAUACAGCUUUCAAGUUUCUCUCUGUA
Non-coding RNA from Cyanistes caeruleus (blue tit), 432 nucleotides. NCBI's taxonomy places the organism in Eukaryota, Metazoa, Chordata, Aves, Passeriformes, Paridae. The record is from RefSeq and is a predicted model, not a curated record.